This 648-nucleotide long non-coding RNA is filed under the name Homo sapiens (human). RNAcentral's name for it is "HSALNT0073146". Lineage: Eukaryota; Metazoa; Chordata; Mammalia; Primates; Hominidae. The record is from RNAcentral.
GCAGGCUGCGGGAGCCAGAAGCAGCACCCCGCUGGGGUCCCCUUGCACGCUGUGGAAGCUUUGUUGUUUUGCUCUUCGCGAUAAAUCUUGCUGCUGCUCACUCUUUGGGUCCAUGUUGCCAUUAUGAGCUGUAACACUGUGAAGGUCUGCAGCUUCACUCCUGAAGCCAGUGAGACCAUGAACCCACUGGGAGGGAUGAACAACUCCGGAAGGGAUGAACGAACAACUCCAGACACGCUGCCUUUAAGAGCUGUAACACUCACCUCGAAGGUCUGCAGCUUCACUCCUGAAGCCAGUGAGACCACAAACCCACCAGAAGGAAGAAACUCCAGACAUAUCUGAACAUCUGGAGGAACAAAGUCUGGACACACCAUCUUUAAGAACUGUAACACUGACUGUGAGGGUUUGUGGCUUCAUUCUUGAAGUCAGCGAGACCAAGAACCCACCAAUUCUGGACACAUUUUGGCGACCAUGAAGAGACUAUCACCUGUCGCCAAGUGGUGAGACUAUCGCCAAGUGGUGAGACCAUCGCCUAUUGCUGAGCGGUGAGACUGUCGCCUAUUGCCAAGCAAGCAUUUUCAUGGAUGAUGUGGAUGAAUACAGGGGCAGCACAGAAGCAGAGAUGAGCAGUGACUACAAAUGAUGUGA